Molecule: unclassified non-coding RNA, 181 nt
Filed under: soil metagenome
Description: partial internal transcribed spacer 1
Source: RNAcentral
CAAGAUAGCCUAUUCUACUGAAUAUACCUAUAACCGACUUCCGAGUUACCUUACCGCGCUGCUCCCGCGACGGCUGUACCUCACCCGGCCCUCUGCAGAUGUAUAUGGGGCAGUCCUGCCGGAAGGUAUACAAAACUCUGUAUUACUAGUGUAUCUGUCUGAAUGUAUAAAACAAAUAUUA